This 310-nucleotide long non-coding RNA is filed under the name Nicotiana benthamiana. Its description in RNAcentral is "long non-coding RNA (NBEN_LNC030560)". The record is from RNAcentral. Lineage: Eukaryota; Viridiplantae; Streptophyta; Magnoliopsida; Solanales; Solanaceae.
AAAUGGUCUGAGUCGCCACCCACCAUCCUAACCCUAGACUUAGCUCCAUCGUACAUGUCCUUGAUUACUCUGAUGUAGGCUUCUGGCACACUCUUCGCCUCCAAGCACCUCCAUAGCACCUCCCUUAGGACCUUGUCAUACGCCUUUUCCAAGUCAAUAAGUACCAUGUGCAGGUCCUUCUUCUUAUCCCUGAACUGCUCCACCAGCCUCCUGACAAGAUGAAUAGCUUCUGUAGUGGAGCGACUUGGAAUGAAACCGAAAUGGUUCACAGAUAUUGAUGUCAUCUCACUCAUCCUCGCCUCGAUCAACC